This is a non-coding RNA of Schizosaccharomyces pombe (fission yeast), 546 nucleotides long. The record is from the annotation of a GenBank genome assembly. NCBI's taxonomy places the organism in Eukaryota, Fungi, Ascomycota, Schizosaccharomycetes, Schizosaccharomycetales, Schizosaccharomycetaceae.
UUGAUAAUGCAGGGAUCUUGCACAUAAUAUACCAAUCAAAUUGGAUGUUGCUAAUGCAGUAAAGAUAAAAUUAGGAGUUGCGAGUUGGAGUUUUGGUAAAGGCUUCAAGGUCAGCAUGGAGUUUACCAUUGCAAAUGGUGUUGCUCUGCUCAGUUUAUUCCAGUGUUUGCAGGUAAAUGCAACUAGCAAAGCAACAUGAAGAAAAAGUAUUGAUGUGGAAAAUGAUGUAGACUCAAAAAUGCUGCGUGGAAUGAAUCUCCAGUUUACUGUCCACUUAUAAUCGAAUGCUCUGCCAAAAUCAAAGGCUUGAGUCCAAUACGACCAAAAAUAGGCAAGGAAGGGAAUAGAAAAUAAAAUUUGUACAAUUAUAAUAACAAAAAUAUGCAUCCAGGUCUUUUUGGGCCCCAAGAUUUGGAGCAAAAGAACUAAAUAAGCUGGGACAUAAAGCAAGGAGGACAUCUUGACAGAACAAGCGACACUUAGUAGAAUUGAAGCUCUAACCCACUUUUUUUUGCAUGAAGACAAAAUAAAAAGGGAAGAGAAUAA